RNAcentral lists this transfer RNA (75 nucleotides) under Candidatus Tokpelaia sp. JSC085. RNAcentral describes it as "tRNA-Thr". It matches the Rfam family "tRNA". Rfam says of the family: Transfer RNA (tRNA) molecules are approximately 80 nucleotides in length. Their secondary structure includes four short double-helical elements and three loops (D, anti-codon, and T loops). Lineage: Bacteria; Pseudomonadati; Pseudomonadota; Alphaproteobacteria; Hyphomicrobiales. The record is from RNAcentral.
GCUGCGGUAGCUCAGUGGUAGAGCACUUCCUUGGUAAGGGAGAGGUCGAGAGUUCAAUCCUCUCUCGCAGCACCA